RNAcentral lists this ribosomal RNA (294 nucleotides) under uncultured bacterium. Its description in RNAcentral is "partial 16S ribosomal RNA". It matches the Rfam family "Bacterial small subunit ribosomal RNA", at positions 333 to 645 of the family's 1533-position model. The record is from RNAcentral.
AUGGUCCUACGGGGGGCAGCAGUGGGGAAUAUUGCACAAUGGGGGAAACCCUGAUGCAGCGACGCCGCGUGAGUGAAGAAGUAUUUCGGUAUGUAAAGCUCUAUCAGCAGGGAAGAAGUUGACGGUACCUGAGUAAGAAGCCCCGGCUAACUACGUGCCAGCAGCCGCGGUAAUACGUAGGUGGCGAGCGUUAUCCGGAAUGAUUGGGCGUAAAGGGUGCGUAAGCGGCCUGCUAAGUCUGGAGUGAAAGGUACCGGCUCAACCGGUACAGGCUCUGGAAACUGGCGGGCUAGA